CGGCUGUUUCUGUAAUAUUUCCAUCAGUUCCUCCAAUAGGAGGAUUGAACCAUUUUAGAACCAUAUCUACCAUCUUGUAUGUCAUUAGUCAUGACUAUUAUCUCUUUUUCUCACUCUCUCGCCAUCGUUGCACAGUUUAAUCAUUUUCUCUUUGGCACAACAAAAAAUGAAAAAAAGUGAUGGAACAACACUAAAAGAAAAAGAAAUAGCAUGGAACGAAAUUUGCAGCAAAUACAAUGAAUCUGCAUUAAUUUCUCAAGAGAGAACUUGUAAAUAGAGAGUGCAACAAUUGAAAAAACUAUGGACAAACAUCAAGCAGAGUCAGAGAGAGGCGAUUACAAAAGAAAGACAGGCACGUAUGGCAACUAGCGGUGGACCAGAAUAACCUGAGCAACCGUUGAUCCCGAUGUUGCUGUUAUUGUACCUCAUUUAAUGAAAACUGCACCAGUAUUAUUCACAUCUAAUAUGACUGAAAAGGAAAUUAAUGAUAUGUGAAAAAGUAACUUAUAAAUAAAUUCACACUUAUAGAGACAAAUGUGAUAUUAUACUUGACCUCCUACCUGUAAAUAAUAAUGUCCAAUUAUCCGAUUAUAAGGAUGAUGCAAUAAACAUAAUAAGUGAUAUAGGAACUACCAUGUCCAAAGAUAUAUCUACUAUUGAAGACAAUAUAGAACAAUAUAAUGAAAAAUCGAUAGUUCUUCAUGAACAAUGUGAUAAAGUUCAAGACAAUGUGGAAUUACAUCUCUCAAGCAAUGACAAAAACAGAACUUCACGUAUGAAAAGGAAAAAAAGAGAAAUAACGGAAUUAAAUGCAGAAGAAAAUAUACAAAUAAAACGGAUAAAACAAAUAAUGCAAUAGGAGGAGUCUUUAGCAUAUAUUAAAUUAAAAUACGAAGAAAGAAUGGCAUCUAUGAGGGAAGAACAUUUAACAGAAAUUAAUCAUCUGCAAAUAAAACAUUUAAAAGAACUACACGAAGAAGAAAUAAAAAUAAAAAGAACAAGACUCAGGAAUAUCGAAUUGCAGCUGUUACGUCCUAGAGGAGGAACGCAACCUUUUCGUUCGCGAGUAAG
Molecule: RNA transcript, 1071 nt
Organism: Harpegnathos saltator (Jerdon's jumping ant)
Lineage: Eukaryota; Metazoa; Arthropoda; Insecta; Hymenoptera; Formicidae
Exons: 5
Source: RefSeq, a predicted model, not a curated record